Molecule: long non-coding RNA, 443 nt
Organism: Ictalurus punctatus (channel catfish)
Lineage: Eukaryota; Metazoa; Chordata; Actinopteri; Siluriformes; Ictaluridae
Source: Ensembl
CGAAAAAACCGCUCUCACACGCUCAACACGCCACACUCGCUCCACUACCGCGCAUGCGCAGAGAGAGAGGUGUCUGAAACAUGUAUGUAUGGGCGGGGUUUAGAGAGAGAGAGAGGUGUGUCUGAAACAUGUAUGUAUGGGCGGGGUUUAGAGAGAGAGAGAGAGGUGUGUCUGAAACAUGUAUGUAUGGGCGGGGUUUAGAGAGAGAGAGAGAGAGAGAGAGAGAGAGGUGUGUCUGAAACAUGUCUGUAUGGGUGGGGUUUAGAGAGAGAGAGAGAGGUGAUUCGUUUUUUUGUCUCCUAGUUUAAACAUUACGGAGAUUCUUUUAGCCAACACUUUAACAUUUUUACCUCGUAAGGAUCUUUGUUUAGAAGUCAUGUAAUACGCGCGAUUCUUUUUAAACAGCUCUUUUAAUCAUUUUUACAUCCUAAAGGUUUAUGUUU